Molecule: microRNA, 22 nt
Filed under: Dasypus novemcinctus (nine-banded armadillo)
Lineage: Eukaryota; Metazoa; Chordata; Mammalia; Cingulata; Dasypodidae
Description: dno-miR-1271-3p
Source: miRBase by way of RNAcentral
GGUGCCUGCUGUGUGCCAGGCA